Molecule: long non-coding RNA, 551 nt
Filed under: Rhinopithecus bieti (black snub-nosed monkey)
Lineage: Eukaryota; Metazoa; Chordata; Mammalia; Primates; Cercopithecidae
Description: lncRNA (ENSRBIG00000046107.1)
Source: RNAcentral
AAUGUUUGUUCUGUUAUUGUUUAGAAGUCGGAGUUUUCCACGAAAUAGACACGUUAAUUCUCAGACCUCCUGGAACAUGAUCAAUCCUAAGGCAGGAAAUAAAGACUAAGGACAUGGGGCUUAGGUUGAAGUGUGGGGGAGAUAACUGCCUCCUUGAUCUGAACCUCAAGGAUUUGUAGAAUGAAGUAUCUUCCCACUGCGGGGAGGCAGGCUGGCCGUUCCUCCAUGGCAGCAGUAGAGAGCAAUGUAGAAGUCAAACCCAGAGACUGGGGAAUCUGGGCAAAGAUUACAGAUUGCCAGAACUGGAGAGAUGUUCCUACUCUUGACCCAAUAAUCCUACUCUUGGGAUUUUAUCAUAAGAAAAUAAUUCAGCAACAACAAAAAGCCAAGUGCGUAAAGGUAUUUAUGACAGCAUCAUCUGAGGCAGCAGAAAAAUGGAAACAGCUCACGUGUCUACCAAUAAGGGACAGGCUGACUAAUUUUUGGUAUGGAUAUUCUGUAACCAUAAAAAUGAUCACUGUGAAGAUUAGGUACCAAAUACAGAAAACACA